RNAcentral lists this ribosomal RNA (465 nucleotides) under Vreelandella stevensii. RNAcentral's name for it is "partial 16S ribosomal RNA". It matches the Rfam family "Bacterial small subunit ribosomal RNA", at positions 338 to 795 of the family's 1533-position model. The record is from RNAcentral. Lineage: Bacteria; Pseudomonadati; Pseudomonadota; Gammaproteobacteria; Oceanospirillales; Halomonadaceae.
CCUACGGGGGGCUGCAGUGGGGAAUAUUGGACAAUGGGGGCAACCCUGAUCCAGCCAUGCCGCGUGUGUGAAGAAGGCCCUCGGGUUGUAAAGCACUUUCAGUGAGGAAGAACGCCUGGUGGUUAAUACCCAUCAGGAAAGACAUCACUCACAGAAGAAGCACCGGCUAACUCCGUGCCAGCAGCCGCGGUAAUACGGAGGGUGCUAGCGUUAAUCGGAAUUACUGGGCGUAAAGCGCGCGUAGGUGGCUUGAUAAGCCGGUUGUGAAAGCCCCGGGCUCAACCUGGGAACGGCAUCCGGAACUGUCAAGCUAGAGUGCAGGAGAGGAAGGUAGAAUUCCCGGUGUAGCGGUGAAAUGCGUAGAGAUCGGGAGGAAUACCAGUGGCGAAGGCGGCCUUCUGGACUGACACUGACACUGAGGUGCGAAAGCGUGGGUAGCAAACAGGAUUAGAUACCCUUGUAGUC